GAUGAACGCUGGCGGCGUGCCUAAUACAUGCAAGUCGAGCGAACAGACGAGGAGCUUGCUCCUCUGACGUUAGCGGCGGACGGGUGAGUAACACGUGGAUAACCUACCUAUAAGACUGGGAUAACUUCGGGAAACCGGAGCUAAUACCGGAUAAUAUAUUGAACCGCAUGGUUCAAUAGUGAAAUACGGUUUUGCUGUCACUUAUAGAUGGAUCCGCGCCGCAUUAGCUAGUUGGUAAGGUAACGGCUUACCAAGGCAACGAUGCGUAGCCGACCUGAGAGGGUGAUCGGCCACACUGGAACUGGGACACGGUCCAGACUCCUACGGGAGGCAGCAGUAGGGAAUCUUCCGCAAUGGGCGAAAGCCUGACGGAGCAACGCCGCGUGAGUGAUGAAGGUCUUCGGAUCGUAAAGCUCUGUUAUUAGGGAAGAACAGAUGUGUAAGUAACUAUGCACGUCUUGACGGUACCUAAUCAGAAAGCCACGGCUAACUACGUG
Molecule: ribosomal RNA, 497 nt
Filed under: uncultured bacterium
Lineage: Bacteria
Description: partial 16S ribosomal RNA
Rfam family: Bacterial small subunit ribosomal RNA
Source: RNAcentral